This is a non-coding RNA of Chelonoidis abingdonii (Abingdon island giant tortoise), 491 nucleotides long. Lineage: Eukaryota; Metazoa; Chordata; Testudines; Testudinidae. The record is from RefSeq and is a predicted model, not a curated record.
AAAGGCUGCCCCGAAUCCAAAACUCUCUGGGUAUCCCCCUUUUCUAGGGCUCUGCUUGUAGGCUCAGGACUGAGCCCAGAGAAAGAAACAAAGACACAAAGUCACCAAAUGAGACCCUGGGCAGCAUCAAGCAGUCAGAAUUGUAACGAUAGAGACUGAUUACAGUUUUGUCAAAAGAAACCCCUGCAAGAAAUACUUGGAGCUCAGUGUGACAGAUGGCAAUUUCCCAGCAAUGUCCUGGACAAACCUCACUGAAUGAAGCUGAAGUAUUUUGGGGUCCAUUGUAUUAAAACCACAAUUGUUUGUGUGUUAUGAAAGAAGCCAACACUUUCAGCAUCUACAACGGAGACAAAAUUAGAGAUGAACAUCCCAGCUCAGAGGUGAACUUUGCAGCUGGGCUGUAUUGCUACAAGCUGGACUGGAUAUAAAAAAAAAGGCAAACUUUCUGAAAGUUCAGAAUUGUAGGCAAACCUAAUGGUCCUUCCCCAAGA